Molecule: long non-coding RNA, 279 nt
Filed under: Hordeum vulgare
Lineage: Eukaryota; Viridiplantae; Streptophyta; Magnoliopsida; Poales; Poaceae
Description: long non-coding RNA (HVUL_LNC016159)
Source: RNAcentral
UUACAAUCUAAGAUCGGUUUGCAUUGUCCGCUGUCCAUUAACCAUCUUGUGCCUCUACUCCAAGUUUGGCAUCAACUACACUGGUCUCUUCUCCGACUUGAUGCCUCCGGGCUGCCGCUCGCGCACCCAUCUACACGUCCCACUGCAUUGGCCAGCAUUGCCAUGAUCCAAUUGGGCUCCUCAACCAACAACCAGCCUCCAUCCAUGCAUGCCGAGUGCCUAACAUGCAACAUGCUGCCCCUCAAGCACCAUAUGUGUGUACGUGGCAGAUCAACUUAU